AUUAGCAUAAAGAUCUGAAAAAGAUGAAGAAAUCAGGAGGAUUUAGGAGGAAGGUCUCACCAGGUGGUAAGAAGAACAAAGACAGAAGCCUGUCGGUGAGUGCUCUCCUGACACAUCGGAGGAGGAGGCAAGACAACUGAGAGCAAAAGGAGCCAGAAUAGAAUUCUCAUCUUUUAGCAGGAAAGGAGAAAGACCUCAGGUUGGCUGCCGCACAGGCCAGAGGGAUUUCACCUCCAACUGAGAGAAUGAGCACCUGCCCCUUGCUGUCUCCCCAAAAACGUGCAGCUCUCCCAAGCUCUCUCUGGGAGCUAUAGGGCCAGCCCCCUUUGGCCCUACAACCACAUUCAAUGCUGUGACUGGGACAGACGGAAAUGAGCAGCAAUUCUAUUUGCCAUCAGGUGACUCCAAGUGUAUUUGAAGGCGAUUCAGAAAGGAG
Bubalus bubalis (water buffalo) is the source of this 436-nucleotide long non-coding RNA. RefSeq lists it as uncharacterized. Lineage: Eukaryota; Metazoa; Chordata; Mammalia; Artiodactyla; Bovidae. The record is from RefSeq and is a predicted model, not a curated record. The transcript is spliced from 3 exons.